Molecule: ribosomal RNA, 492 nt
Filed under: uncultured bacterium
Lineage: Bacteria
Description: partial 16S ribosomal RNA
Rfam family: Bacterial small subunit ribosomal RNA
Source: RNAcentral
AUUGAACGCUGGCGGCAUGCUUUACACAUGCAAGUCGAACGGUAACAGGCCUUCGGGUGCUGACGAGUGGCGAACGGGUGAGUAAUGCAUCGGAACGUACCCAGAGGUGGGGGAUAACGCAGCGAAAGCUGUGCUAAUACCGCAUGUGAUCUGAGGAUGAAAGCGGGGGACCGAGCAGCAAUGUUUGGCCUCGCGCCUUGGGAGCGGCCGAUGUCGGAUUAGCUAGUUGGUGGGGUAAAGGCCUACCAAGGCGACGAUCCGUAGCUGGUCUGAGAGGACGACGAGCCACACUGGGACUGAGACACGGCAGAGACUCCUACGGGAGGAAGCAGCCGGGAAUUUUGGACAAUGGGCGCAAGCCUGAUCCAGCAAUGCCGCGUGAGGGAAGAAGGCCUUCGGGUUGGAAACCGCUUUUGGCAGGAACGAAACGGUGUCCGCUAAUACCGGGCGCUAAUGACGGUACCUGCAGAAUAAGCACCGGCUAACUACGUG